Long non-coding RNA from Ficedula albicollis (Collared flycatcher), 390 nucleotides. RefSeq lists it as uncharacterized. NCBI's taxonomy places the organism in Eukaryota, Metazoa, Chordata, Aves, Passeriformes, Muscicapidae. The record is from RefSeq and is a predicted model, not a curated record. The transcript has 3 exons.
CAACAAGAGGAGCCAGAGCUGGGGACGUGCUGCAGCCACACUGCUCCUCUGAUGGAGGCUCUGACGUCUCUCUGCUCAGUAAAGUUGGAAAAACUUCUAAAAUCCUGGAUAUUGCAAGGAUCUGUGGUGAUGGGACAAGGGGGAAUGGCUUUAAGAAGGAUGCACAUGGCUGGUGUCAAAUCCUAAAGAAGGAACAGCCCUGAGCACGUCCCUGCAGAAGAUCCUCCUCUCUCACACCUCAGCACCAGCCACUGCCACAGCUCUGCACAUCUGUGGAAUGAGAACCAACCCACACACCUCUGGAUUUUAAGUGAAAGAAAGGGAUGUUCAGGUUCACCAGAGCAAGUUAUGUGGGCAAGCUCAGCUUCUCCAGGAGGAUUCACAUUGAAA